This 253-nucleotide ribosomal RNA is filed under the name uncultured bacterium. RNAcentral's name for it is "partial 16S ribosomal RNA". It matches the Rfam family "Bacterial small subunit ribosomal RNA", at positions 524 to 776 of the family's 1533-position model. The record is from RNAcentral.
UACAGAGGGUGCAAGCGUUAAUCGGAAUUACUGGGCGUAAAGCGCGCGUAGGUGGUUUGUUAAGUUGGAUGUGAAAUCCCCGGGCUCAACCUGGGAACUGCAUUCAAAACUGACAAGCUAGAGUAUGGUAGAGGGUGGUGGAAUUUCCUGUGUAGCGGUGAAAUGCGUAGAUAUCUGGAGGAACACCGGUGGCGAAGGCGGCAUCCUGGACCAACACUGACGCUGAGGAGCGAAAGCCAGGGGAGCAAACGGG